GCCCGUCUAGCUCAAUCGGUAGAGCGCAAGACUCUUACUAAGCCUUGCUUGAUAAGCAACGGGGGAUCUUGAGGCUGCGGGUUCGACCCCCGCGGUGGGCU
Non-coding RNA from Artomyces pyxidatus, 101 nucleotides. NCBI's taxonomy places the organism in Eukaryota, Fungi, Basidiomycota, Agaricomycetes, Russulales, Auriscalpiaceae. The record is from the annotation of a GenBank genome assembly.